RNAcentral lists this transfer RNA (87 nucleotides) under Deltaproteobacteria bacterium. Its description in RNAcentral is "tRNA-Leu". It matches the Rfam family "tRNA". From Rfam's summary of the family: Transfer RNA (tRNA) molecules are approximately 80 nucleotides in length. Lineage: Bacteria; Pseudomonadati; Myxococcota; Myxococcia. The record is from RNAcentral. RNAcentral also lists the same sequence under 2 other names.
GCCGGAGUGGCGGAACAGGCAGACGCGCGGGACUCAAAAUCCCGUGGGGGCAACCCCGUGCGGGUUCGAAGCCCGCCUCCGGCACCA